AAGUGUUAUAGCUGUUUUAGAAUUGUCUAGCAGUCUUUCUGGGUUUUGUCAGAAAGGCCCU
Gorilla gorilla gorilla (western lowland gorilla) is the source of this 61-nucleotide small nuclear RNA. Its record names the gene U7. It matches the Rfam family "U7 small nuclear RNA". From Rfam's summary of the family: Animal histone pre-mRNAs are spliced by a different mechanism than nuclear pre-mRNAs and self-splicing introns. This processing involves the U7 snRNP, which contains only one RNA species: U7. The 5' end of U7 RNA is thought to base-pair to a conserved spacer element downstream of the cleavage site in histone pre-mRNA. NCBI's taxonomy places the organism in Eukaryota, Metazoa, Chordata, Mammalia, Primates, Hominidae. The record is from Ensembl.